AAAAAAAAAAGCUGAAAAGUAGCACAGCCCCUUGCCAGUCAAUUCAUCCCAACUGAGGGCCUGCACCUUUUCUUUUCAGUGGAGUAUCGGUUAUGGACAGAUUGCGAGUUACAGCCGAAGGCAGUAUGACAGCUUUAUUGCUGCUGCGUGAGCAACAUUUUCUUUGAUUGGGAAACAGGCUGAGGACUUGCAGAAAGUCAAAUGGGGCCUGUGGGUGUUUGGAAAGGCCAGCUAUCAAACAGUUUCCUAUUAUCAUACACCCUGGGAAGAAGUUCUCAUUUCAUACCCCUGCUCCAGAGAGGUUCACCCUUCAGGACAAUAGGGUGGCCUCAGGAGAAGGACCUCAGUUGGACACAGUGAAAUGCUGCAUUUGCAAUAGCCAUGGAGCCCCUUGUUGGAACAGAUAUAAGAAUCAGUCAUGUCUUUGUCUUGGAGCUCGGCACCUCUUCUGGAGGAGUCCCCUGAUGUGAGAGGGAGAUGGCUGAAUGUGUGUUAAAAGGUCCAGGGGACAGAAACUUAGUGAUCCACAGCAUUCAUCUGAUGCUGUCCAAAGUUGUCGAGCAACCUCAGGAAAUGAGUGGAAAUUUGAUUCUUGUUUGGCUAUCUUGGGUCCUGAAAGUGGGAUGGUGGGUGCAAGAGGGUUGAUGUACACAUCUGUGCACUCUGUGGCAGUGCUUUGAAGCUCUGUGUUGUAGCCUGUGUUUUUUUUUUAUGAUGCAGUCAUGUGCAUUUUUAAGACCAAGAAUUGGACACCUGUGUGCUUAAAGUUAAGCAUGACCAUGACUCAUUCAGCUGUCACUCUUACGGAUGUAGUGUGAGAACCAUAUGGAUGGGAAGAAGUAACCUAGACCCAAGAUGCAAGUUCAGGGACUGCAAGACAGGAGGCCAAACACCGAAACAGCAUCUGACAAAAGUUUAUUUUUGAGAAGACCUUAUAUAAAGACACUGCCUUCAAGAAGAAACAUUGGAAUUUUAGGGCUAUUUGAAACAGUGUGUAAGCAUAUGUUGUAUGUCAUGACUAUGCUGCCUAACAUGCAGUUGGAUGAAAAGCACUUGAAGUAUCUUUGGACCGAACCCACAAUAAAGCUCUCCAAUACUUCAGUGGAUGUAGUGCAUGUGAAGCUAUUUCAGAAUGAAGCCCAUAAUCCUGGACCUCUUUUCAUGGGAGGCUGA
RNAcentral lists this long non-coding RNA (1173 nucleotides) under Anser brachyrhynchus (Pink-footed goose). RNAcentral's name for it is "lncRNA (ENSABRG00000009213.1)". The record is from RNAcentral. Lineage: Eukaryota; Metazoa; Chordata; Aves; Anseriformes; Anatidae.